CCCAUCUCACUGCCUGCCACUCACAAUGAAAGAAGAAGGAAGAGAGAGGAAGGAGGAAACGGUGAGUAAAAGAGAGGGAGGGUGUUGGAGAAGAGGGACCUGAAAGAGAAUGGGGAAGACAGCUUCUUGCACCAUUUCCCAUAGCUCUCUUUGUGACCACAACUGUCAGUUAGGAAGGAAGAAAAGAUGAGGGGCUAGGGUAAGUGAGCGCAUGAGUGCCUGCAUGGUGAAGGUGGUGGGGGGCUUCUUGCUGCUGGUUUUUGUUGUUUGAGGAGCGAGAGAGGCAGGAUUGUAGGAUAAUACAGGGGUAAAAAAAACAACUAUUGAAAUGUUUUAAAUUUAUUUUAUGAAAAUCUUUUUGUUUGUUUAGUUUUUCGCCUGUGGAUUCCAAGCAGGAGAGUGGAAAUAAUUGAUAAAAAUCCAGUUUCAGAGAUCUUCACAGACUGUUGUGGGGAAGUGUGAGUUGAGAAAUUGCCCCUGAGUCUUCUGACCCACUGACCCUGUGUCAGCGUCUGGCUGAUUGCAGGAAGGAGGAGUAUUUUACAUCUAUCAGAGAGGCUCCUGGACUGGUAAUGUCACCUGACCGCCUGCCUUCCAUUGGUUCAUCUGGGACUAAAUCAACAGCCAAGCCAACCCCCUCCUCUCCAGGUCUCCGGCACCCCCACCAGUCCAGUCGCAGAAAGCGUAACAGGCAGCAGAAGACUUCUUUCUCCUCUGACACUCACCCUCAUCCAGGACCCUCAUCCAUCCUCCUCUCAGACGCCACCAUGACUCCUUGGGGAGGGCUGGCUCUAUCUGAGUCCUCCUUUAACUCAAUUCCCAAAAUACUUACUCCACGACCCUCUCCACCUCCACCCCCAGCCUCUCCUGUUCCCGAGCAAAUACCGUCAGCUACCCCAUAUCAUGGCAGGAGACAGGAAGAAGACAAAGACAGCUCAGGCUCAAGUUUUAACUCUCAAAUUCCAUCUCCACCUGUGGCAGUCAUGCAAAACAGCGCAGGUGGAGCAGCUAAAGAUUUGCAGUUGAGGCGGAGGGUGUUGCCUCAGUGUCGGCUUCCUCGUGCCCCCCGUCUCCCACCGCUUAACCAGGUCACUGACCUCAGUUUCUCUCGGAGCUUCACUUUCUCCUUCUUCGAGCUGCCGCUGCACCAGUCUCCUCGCUGGCGUGCCGAGCGCGUCAAAAACCUCUUAUUGCUUUUGAAACAGAUACACUAUUGAAGACGCAGAGCUGCGUGUUCCUACUGAUAGUUCAGAUCUGCCUUUCUUGAGUAUAUUAUUGUAUUAGUAAAAUGUUUAUUUUCAAAGUAAGAGUGAUGGGUGAGGGAUUUUUUUUGGCACAAUAGGAUAAGAAAAUAAGACUGCAUGUUAUUCUAUUCGAUCUGUGUUCAUUGCUUUUCGAGAGCUGGAUUUUCUUUGUUUGAUGUUUUCAAAUUUAUUUUAAAAAAUAGUUUCUAAGGGUGUGAGUUCA
This is a long non-coding RNA of Oreochromis aureus, 1467 nucleotides long. The record is from Ensembl. Lineage: Eukaryota; Metazoa; Chordata; Actinopteri; Cichliformes; Cichlidae.